ACCUGAGCAAUCACACAUUAAGAGCAACUUUCAAGUGGCAUACCGAACCAUCUCACCAACCAACCUAGUUGUUAUUGUUGGUGCACAACAUAUAUUUAAUAUAAUACUCUGAUAUGUAUAUAGAUAUAUAAACCAUAUAUACACAAUCUUUCUUGAGGCUAGCGGGUGCAGGUUCGCCUCUGUUCUUUGGUAAGCAGUUUCCUCAACGUCGCAAGCCAAAGAAUGAAUCUUGUUUCGGCUGUAGUAAUCUACUCCAAACCAGUUCACUUGGUUCAAAUAUACUUCAAAUACUUACCAGAAGGUGAGAGAAUAUAGUUUCCAUUGCUAUACCAUUCAAACAUCCAUAGCUUUAUUUUGUCUAAUGUCAUCCAGUACCGGCUACAACAAGUAUGAAUAAUCCUACAUAGUAUCAGGUUCAAUUAAACAGAAACAAAAUACUACUGAUUUUUUCCCAUUUGUUUCAGUUUCGGUAAACGGAGUUACCUGAUAUAUGCUGGUGGGAGGUGGGUGCAGGUAUCUCAUGGAAUUAGUUGAGGUGCGCGCAACCUGACCCAAGCACCACGAUUAUAAAAAAAACACUAGUCCCCAAAAAGACCCUCUUCUCUUCCAUUUUGGCCACCUAAGAAGUAGAAGCCACUUUCAAUUUCCAAGUUUUCUCCUUAUCUUUCACACUUAACUAAUCACCAAUGCCAAUAACCCUUCACCCUUUCACUCGGUUCUACUCUUUCAAUACAAGAGCUCGUUUAGAAAUCCCAUCAUGUAACUCUUGACUUAUUUUUGUUAUUUUAGUUUAAAGUAAACCCUUAAAAGCGCACUUUUUAUGUUACUCAAACACUGUAAAAAAUACUUAAAAACUAUUUCAAUUAAAAGCACAUAAAAUAAGUCAAUUCAAACAAGUUUCAAGUAUACAACACACAUUUAUGCUUUUUCCUAACACUUUUUUUAACAUAAAUUUUGCUCAUAAAUGUAUAAAUGGCAUAACACAAUUCGGUUUAUAUCCUUCCUCUUGAUAAUAAACAAAAAAUCAGCAACAUUUAACACAUAC
This 1045-nucleotide long non-coding RNA is filed under the name Capsicum annuum. RNAcentral's name for it is "long non-coding RNA (CANN_LNC019620)". Lineage: Eukaryota; Viridiplantae; Streptophyta; Magnoliopsida; Solanales; Solanaceae. The record is from RNAcentral.